GCAGUCGAGCGGACGUUUUGUUGGUGCUUGCACCGACUUAACGUUAGCGGCGGACGGGUGAGUAACACGUGGGCAACCUGCCCUGUAGUCUGGGAUAACUCCGGGAAACCGGGGCUAAUACCGGAUGAUACUUUUUGAUUCAUGUCAGAAAGUUGAAAGAUGGUUUAGGCUAUCGCUACAGGAUGGGCCCGCGGCGCAUUACCUAGUUGGGGAGGUAACGGCUCACCAAGGCAACGAUGCGUACCCAACCUGAAAGGGUGAUCGGCCACCCUGGGACUGAAACACGGCCCAAACUCCUACGGGAGGCAGCAGUAGGGAAUCUUCCACAAGGGACAAAAGUCUGAUGGACCACCGCCGCGUGAGUGAAAAAGGAUUUCGGUUCGUAAAACUCUGUUGUAAGGAAAAAACAAGUACAGUAUUAACUGGCUGUACCUUGACGGUACCUUAUUAAAAAGCCACGGCUAACUACUUGCCACCAGCCGCGGUAAUACGUAGGUGGCAAGCGUUGUCCGGAAUUAUUGGGCGUAAAGCGCGCGCAGGCGGUCCUUUAAGUCUGAUGUGAAAGCCCACGGCUCACCCGUGAAGGGUCAUGGGAAACUGGGGAACUUGAUUGCAAAAAAGGAAAGUGAAAUUCCAAGUGUACCGGUGAAAUGCGUAAAGAUUUGGAGAAACACCAGUGGCGAAGGCGACUUUCUGGUCUGUAACUGACG
This 710-nucleotide ribosomal RNA is filed under the name Lysinibacillus odysseyi. Its description in RNAcentral is "bacterial SSU rRNA". It matches the Rfam family "Bacterial small subunit ribosomal RNA", at positions 57 to 745 of the family's 1533-position model. The record is from RNAcentral. Lineage: Bacteria; Bacillati; Bacillota; Bacilli; Caryophanales; Bacillaceae.